This 421-nucleotide ribosomal RNA is filed under the name uncultured Porphyromonadaceae bacterium. RNAcentral's name for it is "bacterial SSU rRNA". It matches the Rfam family "Bacterial small subunit ribosomal RNA", at positions 356 to 774 of the family's 1533-position model. The record is from RNAcentral. Lineage: Bacteria; Pseudomonadati; Bacteroidota; Bacteroidia; Bacteroidales; Porphyromonadaceae.
GAGGAAUAUUGGUCAAUGGGGGAGAGCCUGAACCAGCCAAGUCGCGUGAAGGAAGAAGGAUCUAUGGUUCGUAAACUUCUUUUGCAGGGGAAUAAAGUGCAGGACGUGUCCUGUUUUGUAUGUACCCUGAGAAUAAGGAUCGGCUAACUCCGUGCCAGCAGCCGCGGUAAUACGGAGGAUCCGAGCGUUAUCCGGAUUUAUUGGGUUUAAAGGGUGCGCAGGCGGGCUUUUAAGUCAGCGGUGAAAUCUGGACGCUUAACGUCCAAACUGCCGUUGAAACUGGGAGUCUUGAGUAUGGAUGAAGUAGGCGGAAUUCGUUGUGUAGCGGUGACAUGCAUAGAUAUAACGAGGAACUCCGAUUGCGUAGGCAGCUUACUAAGCCAUAACUGACGCUCAUGCACGAAAGCGUGGGGAUCAAACA